RNAcentral lists this ribosomal RNA (2601 nucleotides) under Triticum aestivum (bread wheat). RNAcentral describes it as "partial small subunit ribosomal RNA". Lineage: Eukaryota; Viridiplantae; Streptophyta; Magnoliopsida; Poales; Poaceae. The record is from RNAcentral.
GUCUAUGUCAAUUGCCAACCUUGAUGUAUUUAUCUAUGCCAUAGACUUUUGAGUCUGCUCUGCUCUCCUGUGCUAUAUAUGGUCUAUGUCGACCUUGAUGUUUUUAUCCUUAAUUAUCAACUAGUUCCAUUAGUUCCAGACUUUGCCAUCUUUCAUCUAUAUCUGUGCCUGCCGGCGCAAGCAGAUGAUCCCCAUCUUCUUCCUCCUAAUCUUGAGUUCAUUCUGCAGCGCGGAUGACCAGCUCACACAAGCCAAGCCACUCACCCAUGGCGAGAUGCUCAUUUCCGAGAGCGGGGACUUUGCUCUGGGCUUCUUCUCCCCGACAAGCUCCAACAAGAGUUUUUACCUUGGCAUAUGGUACCACAGCCUCCCCGGGCCACAGACCGUCGUGUGGAUCGCCAACCGAGACAGCCCAAUCAUCAACACCCUUCGUCCAUGAUGCUCAAGGUAACUAACAAUUCUCGCAUGGUAUUAUCAGACUCCGAAGGCCGUAUUAUUUGGAUGGCAGGAAGCAAUGUCACUUCUGGGGCGCCAGGAGCUUAUGCAGUACUACUCAACUCAGGGAACUUUGUCCUCCGGUCUUCGGGCGACCAGGACAUAUGGUUGAGCUUUGAUCAUCCGACCGACACCGUCCUUCCAAACAUGAGAUUUUUGGUGAGCUAUAAGGCACAAAUCGUCACACGUCUUGUUGCUUGGAAGGGCCCCGAUGACCCAUCUUCUGGGGACUUCUCAUGCAGCGGCGACCCAAGAUCCCCAGACCUUCAGUUGGUAACGUUGAACAAGGCUAGGCUAUAUUGUCGUAUCAUUGUGUGGGACGGUGUGUCGGUGUCCGGCCGCACACUUCUAACCAACACUAGCUCCACAUUGUACCAAACAGUUGUCAACUCUGGAGACGAGUUCAGUUACACGUUCGCCGUCUCCAACAACUCACCGUUCAUGCACAUCAUGCUUGACUACACUGGCAAGUUGAAGGCUCUAGGCUGGGACGAUCACUCCAUGUCAUGGACAGUCAUCAAUGAGCACCCCAAUAGUGCUUGCGAUCUCUACGCCUCUUGUGGCCCGUUUGGCUAUUGUGACUUCACCAAGGCCAUUCCAACAUGUCAGUGCUUUGAUGGGUUUGAGCCCGUCGACAGUACUAACUCUUUUAAAGGAUGUCAGAGAAAAGAAGCGCUGAAUGCAGCAAGAAAAGUCAUUUCGCGUCUUUUCCUCGAAUGAAGGUGCCUGACAUGUUCUUGCAUAUACGCAACAGAAAGUUGGAUGACUGUGCAGCUGAGUGCAUCAACAAUUGCUCGUGUACAGCGUAUGCUUAUGCCAACUUGAGUAGCGGAGGUGCUAUGGCUGACCCGUCAAGGUGCUUAGUUUGGUCAGGGGAGCUUAUUGAUGCUCAGAAGAGAACCGUUGGCGAGAACCUGUACCUCCGACUUUUUUUUGGUUCGGAACCACCAGCACACGAGUCUCCUCGUGCUCGGGGUGUGCCCUCCGACUUGCCAAUCCUGGUAUUCGGUGUUCCAUGCCCUCUUGUUUUUACCUAGUCAGUAAUGAUUUUAACUCUAUUGUUAGUAUCUAUCAAUACAUAUUUAACCAAAAAAGAUUGUAGUACUAUAAAAAUAAUUUCAAAAAAUAUCUAACCAUACCAUUUUCAAGAUAUCCAAUCUAAAUAUAUCAAGCAGUAUCAGUAGUUAAAAAUUUAGAAGUUCCUUAUCAAGAACAUCACGUUGUUUAGAAACUGGAAGGAAUACAUAUGGAAGGUCCUCUUGUUUAAAUAAACACGGCAUUCCUUUUAAUAUCAUUUUACAAUUGCUAGGUUGUUCAAUUACUUCUGGCCUUCACUUUCAAAUUCAUUGACAAUUCUUUCCAGAUUCCAUGUCUUAACUUUCCCAUACGGCCAUAGCUAGUUGCUAUUUUUUCUCUUGAAUUGACAAUAAUGUCCAAUGCAUAUUUGCAAGAUCAACUACCAUUUUUUAAGAUGGUCAAAUCUUUGAUUUACCACUGGCCCUGGUAGUUCAGGUUAAGAAAUAACAAUAGUCCAGGUGCCUAAUUAGCUUCACAAAAUCCGUCAUGGUACUUAUGGAAGUUAAUUCUGAAUUUCUGAUUGGUCGUAUUUCUGCGGUCGACAAGGAAAUCGGUCCAGUAAAGAUUGUACUCCCCAUUAUAUCAUGUCUGCUACUACUAGCAUGCAUAGUCUUCAUCUGGAUAUACAAAUAUAGAGGCAAAUGGGGAAAGAAGAAAUACCAGAAGAAACUGAUGCUAGGAUACAUUAGCACAUCCAACUCACUAGAAGGCAAAAAUACGGAAUUUCCAUGUUUUAUCUAUGAAGACAUACUUUCAGGAACAAAUUUUUUUGCGGAUUCCAAUUUGCUUGGACGUGGAGGUUUUGGCAAAGUUUACAAGGGCACAAUGGAAGGUGGAAAAGAAGUUGCUGUCAAAAGGCUUAGUAAGAGUUCUGGGCAAGGUAUAGUGGAGUUCAAAAAUGAAGUAGUUCUCAUUGCAAAACUGCAGCACAAGAAUCUAGUCAAACUUCUCGGCUGCUGCAUUCAUGAAGAUGAGAAGUUAUUGGUCGACGAGUACAUAACUAAAAAAAGUUGGACGCCUUUCUUUUUG